GUCUGUCAUAAUGAUUGCAUAGUUAUUAAUAGCCCUUCAAGCCUUUUGGAAAAUAUAUAAUUUGAGUAUUUUUUUGAAUGGAAUUCGAGUAGAUUCCAGUUCAACUGGUCAGCGGUCCCCAUAAGUAACCUGUUCAUCAACAAACUUGUAACAAAGCUGAACAGAGAAAGCAAGCUACUGAAGCAGUUACAAGAAUGGACAACACAAGAAAUACACUUCAACUUACAGUCAUCCCAUUCAGCAGUUUUAUAUCCAGAGAAGUUAAAAGUGUUGUGUAAAGGGCCAGGAGCUGCAAUUAGGCAUUGGGUGACACAGCUUGUGAAGUCUAUAGAGUUACAAAGUGAUCUACAAUGUGAGUGGGGAACAGUUUGAGGACACCAAACAAGCCUUACUGGAGCGAAGAGCUGCUUUGACAAGGGAGAUAACAACAACAUUGAGAGAUGUUGGCCAUUUUGAGCAUGAGGUGGAGAGAAUCACAGCAGAGGUGACCCAGACAGAGCGAAAGUAACAGCAGGUUCAGGAAGUCAUCACCAACUCCAGUCCUCCUUAUUCUUUUUUUCUUUGAAACCUGCUGACACAGCAGGUCAGUAUAAGGAAUGUGUGAGGCAUUUUCACACCAGGACAGCUGUCAUCAAAGCCCGGGCGCAGAAAGGCUGGAAACAGAAGAGUAUUAUAGUCGAGAGGCAGCGGGUGGAGAACUUGACUGGGAGGAAGAAACUGAUGGAAAGACACCCCCCACUAGAAAUUGCUUCCAUGGUUCAAGUAUGAUGGUGGAGAAGUGAGGGAUCUGGCUAGUUAGCCAUCCUUAUACAAGAGUUUACAUCAGUUAUUGCAGGAAAGGCUUGGAGAAGGAGGAGUAUCAUAGGCAGGAGGCAGCAGGUGGAGAUAGUGAUGUGGAGGAGGAAACAGAGGGAAAGACACCUGCACUGGAGAUUGCUUCCAUGGUUCAAGUAUGAUGGUGGAGAAGUGAGGGAUCUGGCUAGCUGGCCAUCCUUAUACAAGAGUCUACAUCAGUUAUUACAGCAAAGGCUUGGAGAAGGAGUAUUAUAGACGGGAGGCAGCAGGUGAAGAUAGUGAUGUGGAGGCUGAAAUGGAGGAAAAGACACUCGCACUGGAGAUUGCUUCCAUGGAGAGGAACAAGGAACACUUCCUCAGUUUCGUCCAGUGUCUGAAGUCAACGAUGAUCGGAAUUUAGAGCAGUCUGUUUCCAUGGUGAAGUCAUGUAUUGAGUAGAAACUUCACAAACUCUUCUCACAGAAAUCUACAGACCUGAAACUUGCCAGUAUCCUGAACAUAGCUGUAAUGGACCAGUCUAUACACCAGACCUCUUCUGUCCAUAUCAGACCUGAUUUGUGUAACAGUCUUCUGUGUUAGAGUGCCUCAACUUUAAAAUAUUCCAGAUUGCACGUGAGAGUGACAGUCAACAGUUACGACAGACAUUACCAUGGUUACAGGAGAUUUCCUGCACCAACCAGGCCCUAGACAACUGUACACAUGCCAGGCAGGCAGCGGACGACUGGUAUAGAAUAGUUUACAUAUAUAUACAGGCUGAGUAUUGUGUCAAAGAAGAUAAGAUGGUGAAUGUUGGUUUUAUCUCCAACAGGUGUAAUUGCUCAUGGCCCCAGUGUUGGUUUCUAUCCAGAUAAUGUACUUGGCAAUGAUUUUUUAAGUUAUCAGCUUUUGUGACCAAUGAACUCAACAGAACUUAUAUUAUGAACUAAACACUUAAAUUGUAUUUUCUUGAUUGGAAUAUUUUGUCUGUUAUUAUCACCAAUAUAAUACUUCUAGUUGGGGGAGCUAUCCUGCAAAUACCAUGGAGUUAUAUAUUCUUGCUUAACACACUUUAAAGGCAAGGACCCCUGUUGUCACAGGCUUAAAGACAGUCUCACGGAUUACAUGUAUUUCACCCAUCACUGAUUCAAAUUUGAGACACUCAUAGUUGAUUUAUCCAGGUAUUGUUUUUUAUUUAUCCAAGUUACAGCUUAAUAACUCAAACAAGGUAUUCUACAAAUAGACUUGGCGUUACUGACAUCAUCAUGCAUUACUUUUAUUUAUAUACUGUUGGAAUUGUCAUAAACUUUAAACUUAUGUUUCUUCCUAUGUAAUUGAAUGUACAUUGACUGUCUGGAAUGUUUGAGACUAAGUAUGUAUCUUUACACAUGCUAAAUAAGAAUAUAAUUAAGAAUAUUGAGCUCUUGAUUACCAUUCAUGUCUUAAAUGCUGAUUUUUAAAUGGAUUAAAUCACUAGAAUGGGAGAAGUGUUGCUAUGAAACCUAUGUUUCUCAGAGCACUUAUUUUUUUUUUUACUGCCAUUCAGAAGUACAGUCUUGGUUGAAUAUUAAUUUCUAGAUUUAAGCACUAAAAGCCUGAUGAUUAUGUGAUGUUUGCUGUACCUUCUGCUAGGUUUCGCUGUCUUCUGAGGUUAAAACAAUUCGAAAAAAGAAAAUAGAAAUAGAUGCUUUUAACCUUACUGUUAAACAAAUGACAUCAACUUCAUGCACAGAUCAGUAUGCUGUUAUGAGUUUUUUUUACCAGUAUUUAAAGAGCAUAAAAAUACAGUACCAUUUCUUUUCGUGCGUUAUAUUACAACUUACAUGUUUAUACAUUACUUUCAACUGUGAAAUGUGAUAGACCAUGUUUUCUAUACCAGGUGGUUGGAGCCCAGCCAGAACGGUGUCUCCUGGAUGACUGUAGAUGACCACACCUUACAGCAGUUCAUGGACAGAUGGACGGUCCUAGUGACCAUCUUUAAGACAACAGCUUCUACACAACCAGUGAGGGAGACCAACUUUCAUCUGUGAUUGCACAUAGACAAUUAACAAUGUACCUCCAAUUGCUCUGACAGAAAUGAAGGCAGGUGUGCUGUGGUCAAGUUAUAAACUAAGGAAAACUGAGUUUUGCCCCAUUAAGCUUAAAGAGGCUUAAUUUCAGAGCCCUACUGGAUGAGCAGAUCAUUCUUUAUCGGAAAACGUCACAUACGCAAUCAUCAAAGUAAACCUCUUAUUUAAAUAAACUAAAUUAGUGUUAAUGCAGACAUCAAGCGGCCUUGAAGGAUGUGGUCAAAUGCUGACAUAUAUAUAUACAUGUUUACAUAAUUGAAUACAAGUCUGUUACUUUAAUAUAUAAAAUUAUGUAAAAUGUGAAAAUAAGUGACAGCUGAAAAGUUAAAGGACCUAAUUGUGUAAACCAUAAUUACAUACUUGA
Mya arenaria is the source of this 3204-nucleotide long non-coding RNA. RefSeq lists it as uncharacterized. The record is from RefSeq and is a predicted model, not a curated record. NCBI's taxonomy places the organism in Eukaryota, Metazoa, Mollusca, Bivalvia, Myida, Myidae. The transcript is spliced from 13 exons.